GAUGAACGCUAGCUACAGGCUUAACACAUGCAAGUCGAGGGGUAACGAGAGGAAAGCUUGCUUUCCUUGUCGACGACCGGCGCACGGGUGAGUAACGCGUAUCCAACCUGCCCCCAACUAGGGAAUAACCUUGCGAAAGUAAGACUAAUACCUUAUAAUUUCCUCAGAUGUCAUCUGACGAGGAAUAAAGAUUUAUCGGUUGUGGAUGGGGAUGCGUCUGAUUAGCUUGUUGGAGGGGUAACGGCCCACCAAGGCAACGAUCAGUAGGGGUUCUGAGAGGAAGGUCCCCCACAAUGGAACUGAGACACGGUCCAAACUCCUACGGGAGGCAGCAGUGAGGAAUAUUGGUCAAUGGGCGGAAGCCUGAACCAGCCAAGUAGCGUGCAGGAUGACGGCCCUAUGGGUUGUAAACUGCUUUUAUACAGGAAUAAAGUUAGCCACGUGUGGUUAUUUGUAGGUACUGUAUGAAUAAGGACCGGCUAAUUCCGUGCCAGCAGCCGCCGUAA
RNAcentral lists this ribosomal RNA (506 nucleotides) under uncultured bacterium. Its description in RNAcentral is "partial 16S ribosomal RNA". It matches the Rfam family "Bacterial small subunit ribosomal RNA", at positions 28 to 523 of the family's 1533-position model. The record is from RNAcentral.